GUGCUCCAUUUGGCACAUACACAUUAAAGCUGGAAUGUUACAGAGAAGAUUGGUCCUUGUGCAAGAAUGAUCCCCAAAUUCAUGAAGUGUUCUAUAUUUUU
This is a small nuclear RNA of Fukomys damarensis (Damara mole-rat), 101 nucleotides long. NCBI's taxonomy places the organism in Eukaryota, Metazoa, Chordata, Mammalia, Rodentia, Bathyergidae. The record is from Ensembl.